Molecule: ribosomal RNA, 265 nt
Filed under: uncultured bacterium
Lineage: Bacteria
Description: partial 16S ribosomal RNA
Rfam family: Bacterial small subunit ribosomal RNA
Source: RNAcentral
UGGCGACCGGCGCACGGGUGAGUAACACGUAUCCAACCUGCCGANGACUCGGGGAUAGCCUUUCGAAAGAAAGAUUAAUACCCGAUGGCAUAGUUCUUCCGCAUGGUAGAACUAUUAAAGAAUUUCGGUCAUCGAUGGGGAUGCGUUCCAUUAGGUUGUUGGCGGGGUAACGGCCCACCAAGCCUUCGAUGGAUAGGGGUUCUGAGAGGAAGGUCCCCCACAUUGGAACUGAGACACGGUCCAAACUCCUACGGGAGGCAGCAUG